AUUGAACGCUGGCGGCAGGCCUAACACAUGCAAGUCGAACGGCAACAGGAAGAAGCUUGCUUCUUUGCUGACGAGUGGCGGACAGGUGAGUAAUGUCUGGGAAACUGCCUGAUGGAGGGGGAUAACUACUGGAAACGGUAGCUAAUACCGCAUAAUGUCGCAAGACCAAAGAGGGGGACCUUCGGGCCUCUUGCCAUCGGAUGUGCCCAGAUGGGAUUAGCUAGUAGGUGGGGUAACGGCUCACCUAGGCGACGAUCCCUAGCUGGUCUGAGAGGAUGACCAGCCACACUGGAACUGAGACACGGUCCAGACUCCUACGGGAGGCAGCAGUGGGGAAUAUUGGACAAUGGGCGCAAGCCUGAUGCAGCUAUGCCGCGUGUAUGAAGAAGGCCUUCGGGUUGUAAAGUACUUUCAGCGGGGAGGAAGGGAGUAAAGUUAAUACCUUGGCGCAUUGACGGUACCCGCAGAAGAAGCACCGGCUAACUCCGUG
RNAcentral lists this ribosomal RNA (490 nucleotides) under uncultured bacterium. RNAcentral's name for it is "partial 16S ribosomal RNA". It matches the Rfam family "Bacterial small subunit ribosomal RNA", at positions 30 to 507 of the family's 1533-position model. The record is from RNAcentral.